RNAcentral lists this long non-coding RNA (3352 nucleotides) under Sus scrofa (pig). RNAcentral describes it as "lncRNA (ENSSSCG00000055910.1)". Lineage: Eukaryota; Metazoa; Chordata; Mammalia; Artiodactyla; Suidae. The record is from RNAcentral.
CACUAAUGAGAGCCUGUUUUUUCCAUAAUUGCUGUACAAAGAACUCUUUCUGGAAACUCUGAUAACUGUUAGGGUGGGGGGGGGGCAGAAUUUUUUUUUUAAAUGAUAAAUUUUAAAUUAUUUAACACUUUAAUUUGUUUAACAUAUAAAUGGUAAAAAUCCAAGCAGUACAAAUUGGUAAAAAAUAAGCAUUCUUCCAUCCCUGACGCCAAGGCCCCAAUUCCAGAAGACUAGGUUGCCCUACAUCUACUUCUUCCCCACUGCAUAUGAGGACAAAAAGCAGCCAUUUUUUUUUCUUUCAUGUAUGAGAGAAAGAUGCUAUAUCGUAUAUUCCUGAUUUUAAUGUCCUAUCUUAGGGAUAGUUAAGUUUAUAUUGAACCACCUCUUUAUUUUUCUGAACUGUGUAAUGUGCCAUGCCAUGGACUUGCUGGGCUUUAUUUAGCUGUGGUAAAGAGUAGUGAUUAAGAAUUUAAAUUCUGCAGAGAACCUGCCUCUGUGUGGCUUUUUUUCAUACCAUGGAACUACCAGCAAGUAUUUGUUGAGGGCUUUUUGUCUUGGGAUCCUGAGAUAACAGGAGGCAAGUAAAGACAUUGCUUCCAUUCUUGAAGAAUAUGGAGACAGUGUUUAUUUUCCCCAGACAGGUUGAGAAUGAUAAAGUUUUCUGUUUUGAGCCUUAAACCUGAUGCUAUCUAGAGGGUACCUGCUCUAAGCUGAUUCCACGCAGGAGAGAGAGCAAGUCCAAAGGCCCUGAGGUGGGACUGUGAGUUCCAAUCACUUGAGGACCAGCACAGAGGCUAGUGAUUCUGAAAGCAGAGGAAUAUACAGUCUCACCUGUUGAUUCCUAGGAAAAAGAUGCUUUAAGGCAAAUUGUAUCAGUGUGUAAUAAAAGUAAAAUAUUCCCUCCAAGCUAUCUCAGUGAGGUUUCUGGAGAAGGUUUGAAGAAAGUUGUAUGAUUUCUAAAGUACAAGAAAAUAGUUUUCUUUACAGAGUCCAGGACUUUGCAGUGAAAUUCUCUUGCCUCUAAUCCUAGUGAGUUUGAAGGAAGCAGAGGAGUGUACUCAGGAAACAAAUGUAGAUGAAGGAGCACAUAGUUGAAUAAAUGAACUAAUUAGAACCUGAAGUAACUAGAUAGGCUCUAGAAAAAUAGCAGAAGAGAUUGAGACAGCGCCAUCCUGAUUGGUCGGCAGGGAACUCAGUGAAAUUUCUAAAAGAUGUAAGUAUUAAGUUACCAGCUGGCAAAUUUGAUGCCAGCCAAAGUAGGGAGGAAAUUUUACUUUGUACUCAAAGUUAUAGGUUUUUAAAACAUUUUUUUUUUAAUAUCAGUUGUUUGCAUGGAAGUAGGAAGAAACUAAUCAGCGUGGAGAAUUAGUAGCAGCCAAUUUUUCACCCCCACACCCACCCCAGUCCUACCUUAAUGAAGCUUUCAUCUGAUUUUCCCAGUAUUACCCCCCACUGGUUCAGAGAUAAGUAAAGGGACAUUGUAUCAGAAUGCUUGAAAUAUAUUAGUACAUUAUUUCAAAGGAUACAUAUUUUUAGCAACAAAAGUAUCUCUUAACUCCUAGCUUUUUAUUUGUCUACCUAGCAGUGAAGAGUGUUAAACAGGACCUUUUGAUUUUGAGAAAAUAUUGAUAUUGGAUGUUUUCUGUGCAUUUAUUUCUUUUAGGAAAAAAUAGCAGUGAAAAAACAUUGUCAGUCUGGAUGGUUCUUUUUCAGAUGCAAGAUCACUCAAACCGAAAUCCUUUUUGUACUCAAAUUGGGCCUGCCAGCUUUAAAAGAGGGCAGUCAGGAUAAUGUGAUAAACUGGCCCGAGUGUUCAAUCUUAGCUCAUCAAGGCUGCACCAGAAUUGACAUUUUUGUACAGUAUGGCUUGAUGCUCUGAUUACAAAUUGGUCCUGAGUAGCUAGACUGUUUGUAAUUUUAUUCACUAAGGGAUUGUGCUUGUAUCAUUAGGUCUGUUUUAGUUUUGAAAGCUGGAGGAAGAAAUACACUCCUGGUUACCCUCUCUUGUUUAAGAAUGAGAGGAAGAGGGAGAGGGAGAGGAAGAGGGAGAGGGAGAGGGGAUAUUCAUACAGAAACAAAUGCAAUUUAUUCUAUGAAAUUAAGACUUUUAUUUUUUUCCCAAGGCAGUGAUGAUAGCAUUUCUCUUCCCACUUCUUCCUGGAAGUUUUACAGAGAAGCUUAAAUUGAAGUUUUAGAAAGGGUAUUGCAUAUUUAUAUUUCUCAUAUUUGAUUUUAAUUGUGAUAAAUGGAUGAACUGUCUUGAGAAGAGUAGAUCUAUAAUUGUAUCUCUUUUGGGCUUGUUGUCUAGAAUUCUAUUUUUAAUUCAAUGGAGGAACUUUUUUACACAAUGAAAUUAACAGCAAUUAGUUUUUGGUCAAGGGCCUUUUAUUCUUGGGAGAAUAAAAAAUAAGCAAAGACAAUGUGUUCUGUCCUUGGAAAACCUAGAGACAGCAUGUAUUUAUGCCGAGCAGAUCGAGAGUGGUAAACUAUUGCACAUCAUUAAGAGUUAAAUUGGGUGCUGGAGACAGUGACUUCACUAGGAUUCAAAGAAGGAAGCGAUCAUCUAGGAGCAACAUAAUUUGGGUGAUAUUUCUAACAUGUCAUCAGAGAACCACUGGGUAAUAAUGGGAAAGUAGAUAGUUUUAUCUGACCGUAAUUACAAACAUUGAACUUGAUAUGGACUACUUCACAGGCUACAAAACAGCCAGAUCAUGGAUAAAUAAACCAAGGCUUCAAUGUAUGGCUAGGCUUGGAGCAAGUAAGGGAAAUUUCCAACCCUCCCAUGUAAACAACCACUGCCCCCAAAGGAAACAACAAACCUUGAACUGAAACCCAAGUGAGAAGUACUGAGCAAGGAGUAAGUAGAAAAGACAAAAAUUGUUCUGAGUGUGAUAGUCACGUAGUUCUGUAUCUGAGGAUCGGCCUCAAGUGAGCCAGUUGUAAACUAGAAGGUAAGGAAGCUGAACCUGGCUCCUGAAUAAUCAGGACCUGGGUUGGUAGCCUGCCUUGGUUUUCAGAGAAAGCAACCAUCAUUCCUCUGGGGCAAAGCAUGCCCUAUUUGGGACUGCAGAAAUCCCACAGGUAAAGUUUAAAAACUGAUCCCACAAUCAAAGAUGGAAAAAAUAUACCAAAAAACCAACCAUUAUCAGUCAGAGAUAACAGAAGGAAAACACAGCCAAAAGUGGACUUAGACCCUGGAGAUUUUCAGGUAUGGGAAUUAUCAAAUUUAGCAUGUAAAAUAAAUUUGGUAUGACUCUUUAAGGAGUAAAAGGAAAUUAUUUAAAAUAUGCGCAUGCAACAAAAGACUAUAAAAAUGAUUAGGAAGAUUUUACAAAAAGCGAUAUGGAACUUU